Nicotiana tabacum (common tobacco) is the source of this 747-nucleotide non-coding RNA. NCBI's taxonomy places the organism in Eukaryota, Viridiplantae, Streptophyta, Magnoliopsida, Solanales, Solanaceae. The record is from RefSeq and is a predicted model, not a curated record.
AUAUAAUUAAAUGGAGUCACUGUCUCAAUAUGAUGAUGCUAAUUAGUAUGUGGAUCCAGAUCCUGGUCACUCUGGAGAAACUGGUUCCAUUCUUUCAUUGUGUUGAACAAGCACUCACAAUGUCUGUCCCUUAGAUACUGUUAUGAAUGUCCAUGUUUUUGUUUGCAGUUGUUAUGAAAUGUUUUAAUUCUCUUCAAUUCCUGGUCGUCCAACACAACCAAACAGGCUAUCUCAUGAUGUUUCUAAUGGGCAGAAGCUAGUGAAGGAGGUUUAUGAAGCACUUAGAGCAAGUCAUCACAUGAGACACUUUUUGUGAUGAACAUGGUGGUUUUUAUGAUCAUGUCCAAACUCCUUAUAUAUGUUAAUGGACCAAAUCCAGAUGGGAAUAAUGGACCAAAUCAAAAAAGGAACUGUGCAUUUGGCUGCAGUCCUGAAUGGUGAACAUUUCAUGAGCAUGAAAUGUCAAAGAAAAUGAAUGUGAAGGAAGCUCAUGAGUAUGUAAGAGGUGCAGUUUCAAGAGGCUAUUAAGUUAGGAACUGAUGUGUCUGCAGGGGUGGAUUUAUAGCUCAUUUUAUGGGCACAUGAACUCAUGGUCUCUCCGUCAAACUAGAUAUUUUAUGUACAUAUUUUCUAGAAUUGAUCUAAUAUUAAUAGUCUGCUGCACACAUGCUCUAAAGAACCUAAAUGAUGCACUUGGUUAAAUGUUGAGUUAAUUACCUAGAGGAGCAAGGAUUAAUUCCCAUUGAA